Molecule: long non-coding RNA, 550 nt
Filed under: Phascolarctos cinereus (koala)
Lineage: Eukaryota; Metazoa; Chordata; Mammalia; Diprotodontia; Phascolarctidae
Description: lncRNA (ENSPCIG00000036367.1)
Source: RNAcentral
CAGAUACACAUGCCUGUGACUUCAAAGAGGUUCUAACCCCCUUUCAAAAAAAACACAUUCGCACCCAUUUCCCCUGAAAGAGAAAUGAAAAGUCUCCUAGGAAAUCAUCUCCCAACAGCCUUUUCUGACUUGUAUCUCCUCCAUUUGUUCUCAAAUUCUGCUACCCAGAUGGAAAAGAGGGAAAUCGAGAAGAAGCCUGGACAACCUUUAUUUCUGACCAUUUCUGUGAUAUGAGGCUCAACAGUAUUUGGCAACAAACCUAUCCAAAAGAGAAAUGUGAAAGGUGAAAACAAGGAAGCCCAUGACAGAAAAGCCUAAAAAAAUAAGAAAAACAAAACAAACCAAUAUAAGUGGACUGCAAGGAAGAAAAACUGUCCAUCAUCCAGGGGAGGGUCAAUUAAUCAGUGUAAGAACACAUGCAAAGUGUGAAACAAUGAUGGUAGCAGCUCAAGAUCAAAAUGCAUUGUCUCCAGAAUUUUAAAAAGGACAACCUAGAGACAUAUACCCAGACAAAGUAUUCAUGAGCUAAAUAACUAGCAUAGACAGACAG